This 467-nucleotide ribosomal RNA is filed under the name Aegla violacea. RNAcentral's name for it is "partial 16S large subunit ribosomal RNA". It matches the Rfam family "Bacterial large subunit ribosomal RNA", at positions 1932 to 2601 of the family's 2925-position model. The record is from RNAcentral. Lineage: Eukaryota; Metazoa; Arthropoda; Malacostraca; Decapoda; Aeglidae.
CGCGGUAUUUUGACUGUGCAAAGGUAGCAUAAUCAUUUGUCUUUUAAUUGAAGACUUGUAUGAAUGGCUGAACGAGAAAAUAACUGUCUCUUUAAAAAAUCUUGAACUUUACUUUUAAGUGAAAAGGCUUAAAUAAUUUUAAGGGACGAUAAGACCCUAUAAAUCUUUAUAUUAUUCUUCUUUAAUUUUCAAAUUAUAUAUUAAAAGAAAUAAAAGAAAAAAAUAUUGUAUUGGGGAGAUAAAAAUAUAAUUUUUAACUGUUUAAAAUGUAAAACAAUAAUCUUUGAUUUAUAAAAAAUUGAUCCUUUUUAAAGAUUUUAAGAUUAAGUUACUUUAGGGAUAACAGCGUAAUUUUUUUUGAGAGUUCUUAUCGAAAAAAAAGUUUGCGACCUCGAUGUUGAAUUAAAAUAUCCUUAUAGGUGUAGAAGCUAUAAAGGAAAGUCUGUUCGACUUUUAAAAUUUUACAU